This 372-nucleotide unclassified non-coding RNA is filed under the name Hevea brasiliensis (rubber tree). Lineage: Eukaryota; Viridiplantae; Streptophyta; Magnoliopsida; Malpighiales; Euphorbiaceae. The record is from RNAcentral.
UUUAACCCAACAAAAGCAGCUACAAUUCGAGUGUCUGGGAGUUCAGGGGAAGACAAAUUCUUCUUGAGUGAUAUUGAUGACUUUGAACUCAAAGAAACUCGGGGUGAUUCAAAUUUUCCAGAUGUUGUUGAUAAAGAAAAUUAUUCCUCAUUUUGUCCAGAAGGAAUUAAUAUAGUGGAUGGGCUGCUAAAUACAAAUGAUGAAUCUUAUUCUUCUCCGGACAACUUUGUUCAAGAUAAUGGAUUGGGUGACUUCAAAAACUUGACAGAAAAUUCAAAUUUAACAUCAAGUCCUGUUCGUAUUCCUAAACAACAGAGCGUUGCAGAUGUAGAAGUUGUGCAGGUGGCAGAAUCAUUACUCGAUUUAAGGCCC